RNAcentral lists this ribosomal RNA (1527 nucleotides) under Triticum aestivum (bread wheat). RNAcentral describes it as "partial small subunit ribosomal RNA". The record is from RNAcentral. Lineage: Eukaryota; Viridiplantae; Streptophyta; Magnoliopsida; Poales; Poaceae.
AUGGCUGGCGACUGGUCCUCAUCGUCGUCGACGGCGGCCAAGGGCGUGGCGAGAAGGCUGGCUCGGCACCACCAGGCCGUGCUCGGAUUCCUGCUCGGUUUCUUCGUCAGCGUCGUACUCUACACCACGGUGUCCGGCCUGCUCCGGUUCACGAAUACCCUUGUCAUUCUACAGCCCACGCCGGGCGAGCGUACCGAACAAAGUGCCAGGACUGCUCCUCCUCUAGUGUUUUCGACGCCUAAUCAUUCUACUGAAGUAAAUGAUGCUGGUGGCAAGUUGGACGAAGUGCUCAUUCGGCAAGAACUCGGUCAAGAGGGUGAUGGGAAUAAUAGAAGCAACGUCAAACAUGGUGCUCCACGCAAGCCCAUCUGCGACCUGUCGGACCCUAGGUAUGCCAUCUGCGAGAUCUCUGGGGACGCCCGUGCCAUCGGCGCCAACUCUACCGUGUACCAUGUCCCGCCUGCCGAUGAGCACGGCCCUGACGGCCUGGAAUGGGCCAUCCGAGACCAGUCUCGCAAGGACCUCGGAUACAUCGACAAGGUGAAUGUCAAGACCCUGAGCGCCGCCCAGUCGCGGGUGGCGCCGGAGUGCACCUCCCGGCACGCUGUCCCGGCCAUCGUGUUCGCCAUGAACGGGCUCACGUCCAACCCAUGGCACGACUUCAGCGACGUUCUGAUCCCGCUCUUCAUCACCACUCGCGCCUAUGAUGGCGAGAUCCAGUUCCUCGUCACCGAUCUCCGGCCGUGGUUUGUGGACAAGUACCGCCUCAUCCUCACCAACCUAUCACGCUAUGACAUCGUUGACUUCAACAAGGACACUGGUGUCCGGUGCUACCCACACAUCGUAGUCGGCCUACGCAGCCACGGCGACCUCAGCAUCGACCCGGCCCGCGCGCCGCACAACUACACAAUGCUGGACUUCCGCAUGUACAUCCGAGACGUCUUCUCACUGCCGCCAGAAGACCAAGGAAUCCCGUACAAGGAGGCUAACAAGAAGAACAAAAAUGGUGGCACUAGCAUGGAGGAACAAAAGCCUCGCCUCAUGCUCAUCAACCGCGCCGGGAUCAGGAAGUUCGUCAACCUUCCAGAGAUCUCCGCGGCGGUGCAGGCUGCCGGGUUCGAGGUGCUGAUCAUGGAGCCGCUCCGUGACAUGAGGCUCGAGGAAUUCUCUCGGCAGGUGGACUCGUGCGACGUGCUGAUGGGCGCGCACGGGGCCGCGCUCACAAGCUUCUUCUUCCUCCGCACCAACGCGGUCAUGCUACAGGUGGUGCCAUGGGGCUUAGAGAGGGAGGCUAUGAGUUACUUCGGCGUGCAUGCCAAGGACAUGAUGUUGCAGGACAUCGAGUACAGCAUCACCGUGGAGGAGAGCACGCUGUAUGAGAAGUAUGGCAAAGACCACCUGGCAGUACGUGACCCAGAGGCACUACGUAAGCAGGGGUGGCAGUUGUUAAGGAAGUACUUGUGGGACGAGCAGGACAUCAGGCUUAACGUCACCAGAUUUACUCCCACUCUACACCAGCUGCUUUGA